RNAcentral lists this ribosomal RNA (434 nucleotides) under uncultured bacterium. RNAcentral describes it as "bacterial SSU rRNA". It matches the Rfam family "Bacterial small subunit ribosomal RNA", at positions 29 to 507 of the family's 1533-position model. The record is from RNAcentral.
AACGAACGCUGGCGGCAGGGCCUAACACAUGCAAGUCGAGCGCGCCUUCCGGGUGAGCGGCGGACGGGUUAGUAACGCGUGGGAACGUGCCCUUCUCUACGGAAUAGUCCCGGGAAACUGGGUUUAAUACCGUAUACGCCCUUCCGGGGGAAAGAUUUAUCGGAGAAGGAUCGGCCCGCGUUGGAUUAGAUAGUUGGUGGGGUAAUGGCCUACCAAGUCGACGAUCUAUAGCUGGUCUGAGAGGAUGAUCAGCCACACUGGGACUGAGACACGGCCCAGACUCCUACGGGAGGCAGCAGUGGGGAAUAUUGGACAAUGGGCGAAAGCCUGAUCCAGCAAUGCCGCGUGAGUGAUGAAGGCCUUAGGGUUGUAAAGCUCUUUCGUCGGGGAAGAAAAUGACUGUACCCGAAUAAGAAGGUCCGGCUAACUUCGUG